This is a non-coding RNA of Neolamprologus brichardi, 282 nucleotides long. The record is from RefSeq and is a predicted model, not a curated record. Lineage: Eukaryota; Metazoa; Chordata; Actinopteri; Cichliformes; Cichlidae.
CGUGAGCACAUCUACCGGUGACUCCAUGGCAACCGCUUGAGUUAACAUAGAUAAUGGCAGAGAUCGUCUGUACUAAGAAAUAAUUUUUGCAGAAAAUGUGUGAAGAGUUUGAGGCCGAACAGCACAGCGGUCCCAGCCCUGCGUGGACAGAGGCCAGCUCUGUGAGCACCCAGCUCUCCCGGCACAGCGUACUUAUGGAUGAUGAUCUUCUCAGAGACUUUGAGCCCGAUGUUUGCUGUGCUCUCCCUGGAUACUCUGCAUUAAAAGGACCUCAUCCUUCAC